AAAACCUGAGCUCUGUAAUCAAACUUUGUCUGGGACAAGAAAUCCUUUGAAAUCCGAGGUUAAUUACAUAUUGCUAAAGCUGAAUCUUAUAUAACAAAACGCAUGAAAUAAUCCGUAGGCAAGAGACAUCGACAAUACACUACAGAUGGUUUCUAAUUAUAUGUGUGUCUCUUAAAGAAACAUUUCCUAGUGCUAAUUGAGUGGCAGGAGGGUCUCCUGGGAAUACACAGCAACAAAAGAAUGGCCCGUGCCCUCCUUGUCUGUGUUCUGUACAUUGCUAUGACUGGCGUUUGUUCCAACAGACGGACACCUAGCUCCACCAUAACUCCAUCAGACCAAAAUCAACCCAAUUUCAAUGCAUCCACAAAGAACACAUCUGGAGAAAUGAAUGAAGCAUCAAGUGACAAAAUACAACCUGCACAGAACGAGAGCAGACCAAUCGGCAAAAGAUUCUAUUAUUAUGAAAAGCCUCUAGAAUCAGGGAGACGAAGGCUGAUAAGCAAAGCUCAAAUAAGAUCACGAAAGAGUUUCAGACCACAGAAAAGGAAAAUAGAUAUAUCUAGUAUUCUUGCGCUCUUUAAAAAGAAAAUAGCAAAGGUGAAACACUCCAAAAAGAAAAUUUAAUUUUCUUUGCCAUCAUGAUUACAGGUGGUGGAUAUGGAAAUAAAUGAUUUAUGUUCACAAUUAUUGUUGAAUUGUUGUUCAUGGUAAUGGUGUAGGCCUUCAGUGAUAUUGUUGUACAGUGACAUUUUAAUAGUAUAGUCACUAUUUAGAGAUGUUGAAAGUAUUUCAGUUGUUUAGUUUAUGGCGUGGUAAAGAUUCAUUAAAAAGUAUUUUUAAAAAAUGUU
RNA transcript from Biomphalaria glabrata, 848 nucleotides. RefSeq lists it as uncharacterized. Lineage: Eukaryota; Metazoa; Mollusca; Gastropoda; Planorbidae. The record is from RefSeq and is a predicted model, not a curated record. The transcript is spliced from 3 exons.